UUUGGCCCAGGAGGGAACAGUGAAUACGGUGGAGUGUCAUUCCAACAGACAGGUGCCACAUGUACGAUUGAUCUUAAUGGUGGUUGGAGUUGAUGUCCUCAAGAGGUUUUAAUGGAAUAUUGGAGUACAAAUAAAAGGUUGCAUGCACCAUUUACAGUACCACAGAUACUGAACCAGUCCACAUACAAAUGCAGCAAGAUCCGGACAAUAUCCAGGCUUGUGCUAAAAGGUGGUGAGUAAAGUAUGUGCAAAACCAAUGCCAGUCAAUGACUAUUUCAACAAGAGAGAGCCUGAUCAUCAUCCCUUGACAUUCAAUCGCAUUACCAUGAUUAGAUCUCCCACUAUCAACAUCCUGGUCAUUACUACUGAACAGAAAUUGAUAUGGACAGUGGGCUUGGUGACGUUGUGCAAUGAUAACAGCUUCUCUCUCAAUGUUAGUCAAACUAAAGAGCUGAUCAUUGACUUCAGGAAGGAAAAGGAGAACACACCCCCAUCUACACCAACAUAGCAGAUGGAGAGUCAUGUUCCUCAGAGUGACGAUAACUGACAACCUGUCCUGGCCUUCCCACAUAGAUGUGAUGGUCAAGAAGGUACAACAACACCUCUUCUCCCUCAGGCAGCUCAGGGAAUUUGGAAUGUCCUUAAGGACCCUCACUCACAUUUACAGAUGCACCAUUGAGAGUGUACUGUCCGGGUGUAUAACAGCCUCGUAUAGCAACUGCUCUGCCCAGGACAGUAAGAACCUCCAGAAGAUGGUCUGCACAGCCCAGACCAUCACAGAAACCGACCUCCCAUCCACGGACUCCAUUUACACAGCUCACUGCCGCAGAAAGGCUGCCAACAUCAUCAAAGACCCCUCCCACCUGAGGAAUGCUCUCCUCCAACCUCUUCUGUCAGGCAAGAGAUACAGAAGCUUGAACACACGCACCAACAGGUUCAGGAACAACUUCUUCCCGGCUGUUAUUGGGCUGAUAAGUGGACUCUCUAACUUCAAAUAAUGCUGAUCUUGCUAAUGUUGAUCUCGCCGAGCACAGGUCCUGCGCGAUGUAUUCCUGUACGCCUCUGUCUAGCUUUUUACACCCACGAUCUCUAUGUCAUUGCUUACAAUGAUCUGCCUGGACCGAUUGUGAACAAAGCUUUUCACUGUACUUUAGGUACACAUGACA
Hemiscyllium ocellatum (epaulette shark) is the source of this 1166-nucleotide long non-coding RNA. RefSeq lists it as uncharacterized. The record is from RefSeq and is a predicted model, not a curated record. NCBI's taxonomy places the organism in Eukaryota, Metazoa, Chordata, Chondrichthyes, Orectolobiformes, Hemiscylliidae. The transcript is spliced from 3 exons.